Molecule: unclassified non-coding RNA, 329 nt
Filed under: soil metagenome
Description: partial contains 5.8S ribosomal RNA, internal transcribed spacer 2, and large subunit ribosomal RNA
Rfam family: 5.8S ribosomal RNA (bases 1-120)
Source: RNAcentral
GAUGAAGAACGUAGCGAAAUGCGAUAAGUAGUGUGAAUUGCAGAAUUCAGUGAAUCAUCGAAUCUUUGAACGCACAUUGCGCCCCCUGGUAUUCCGGGGGGCAUGCCUGUCCGAGCGUCAUUACAACCCUCAAGCUCAGCUUGGUGUUGGGCCCCGCCGCCCCGGCGGGCCCUAAAGUCAGUGGCGGUGCCGUCCGGCUCCGAGCGUAGUAAUUCUUCUCGCUCUGGAGGUCCGGUCGUGUGCUCGCCAGCGACCCCCAAUUUUUUUCAGGUUGACCUCGGAUCAGGUAGGGAUACCCGCUGAACUUAAGCAUAUCAAUAAGCGGAGGA